CACUUCCGGCCGGUCUAGCCGCUGUGUGCACUCCUCUCCCUGGCCAGCCUGCCGGGGCGGGGAGUUGGGGAUUCCCCUCGCGCGGCGGAGAGCGUUGGGGGGCGUGUCGGCUCUGGGGCAGGGGCCCUGGCUCUAGUUCGCGCUGAGCCGCGGGCGCCUGAGGGGCCGCGCGCGGUGGGGGGAAGGUUCUGUGAAGCGGCACCACCCUGGGGCGGGGGAGGGGAGAGCGAGCAGGCAGCUGAAGCACCUGGAGGGGCAGGAGAACAGCACGGGGGAGGGGGAGCAGCACCUUGAGGACGAGUGUGUGUGUGGUGGGGAAGCAGGACGCCCCAAGGCAGGGAGGGGAAAACAGCCCGCUGAGGGGGGCAAGGGGGCACAACCCCCUACGUGGCAGUGAUUGUGCAUUUUAUGAGCAUAGUGGGUGCAUUAACCCUAAGCAUGGCCUUGAUCUGCCCAACCCCUGGGACUUGAGCCUGAGACCUGAACAGUUUGACUGGUUCAGAGGCAUUUAGCAGUAAAUUCUGUGGUUUUCUCACAUUGGCAGCUGCCUGGAACGGGGCCUUCCAUCCCUUCUGGAACAUUGGCUAGAAGUGGACUUGUAUCCUCUCGGUUAGGAGCCACUCCAUGGAAGCAGGAAUGAAACUGUUGUUCUCAUGCUCUGGUGCAGUGUGAGGGCCUCUUUUAUAGUUAACUGGCUGUACCCCCUUGGUGGUAUACUUUAUUCCUCUCCCCAGAGCUUGCCUUAUGUGUGUCCAAGGGGUGAGAAAGAUAGAAAUGUCAGAAGAAGUUGGGGCUCCCAGGAGCCCCUCCUCAGCAGCUGGAGGUCAAGUCCCCUUUCUGCACAAAGAACUGUGUGACUGUGAUUCUGUACCUGCCAAGUGUAAAUGUCCAGCAGCUCCAUCAUCUCCUGUACCAGACAAUCCCCAGCUGCAGUCCAGAGCAUCAUUGGACUCUGUAAUCGGGGAAGGAUGUAGAAUUCAAGUGUCUGUUAUUCUGCCUGUUCACAAUUCUGAAUGUUGGUUGGAUGAAUGCUUGAAGUCAGUCAUGAAGCAAGAUUUUGAAGGUACCAUGGAGUUGUCUGUGUUUAAUGAUGCUAGUAAGGAUAAUUCAAUUAAUAUAAUUGAAAAAUGGAAGCUCAAGUUGGAAGAUGUGGGUAUUCGGGUUGUCAUUGGUGGUCAUGAUUCACCUCAACCCCAAGGAGUUGGCUUUGCUAAAAACCAAGCAAUAAUACAGAGUUCAGGGACCUACCUCUGCUUUCUGGAUUCUGAUGAUGUGAUGAUGCCACAGAGGGUGAAAUUGCAGUUUGAAGCUGCCAUUCAGCAUCCAAAUAGUAUUAUAGGUUGCCAAGUCAGGAGAGAGCCAUUGGAUUCUACUGAACGAUAUACUCGUUGGAUCAAUAACCUGACACCUGGACAACUUCUUACACAGGUGUUUACCUCCCAUGGACCCACUGUGAUCAUGCCUACCUGGUUCUGUUCCCGAGAAUGGUUUUGUCACGUGGGCAAAUUUGAUGAGGGUGGGAAGGGUGUUCCGGAAGACUUGCUGUUCUUUUAUGAACAUAUCCGAAAGGGUGGUGGAGUCUUUCGAGUUGACCAGUGCCUCCUCCAGUAUCGCUACCAUCCACAGGCAGCAACUCAUUCUGUUCUAGAGGAAACCAUCUGGAAUCACCGAGUCAGGUUUCUGGAAGACAGAGCCCUCAAGCACUGGACAUCUUUCACCAUUUGGAAUGCUGGCAAACAAGGCAGGAAGCUCUAUAGAAGCUUAUCACCAGCUAAUCAGAAGAAGGUAGCUGCAUUUUGUGAUGUUGAUGAAAAUAAGAUAGUGAAAGGUUUCUACACUUACCAAGAAUCCAAGGAGAGACGAAAACCCCAAAUUCCUAUACAACAUUUCAGAGACGCAACCCCACCUUUCAUUAUCUGUGUAAAGUUGGAUCUGACAGGUGGAGGAUUUGAAGAAAACUUGGCCACACUAGACUUGAAAGAGGGACUGGAUUAUCAUCAUUUCAACUGAACACUCAGGCUGGACACCAAGAAGCGUUGCCUACUUGAAUGUUAGUUGGUCUGAGCUGGUGAAAUGGCUCACAGCAUCCAGAGCCACUCCCUAUCAGGCUCUCAGUCUCAAACUCCAGUUUAUCAAGAUGCUGCAGCACAGAUCACUUCCUCCUUCAUGACGCAAGUGCCAGAGAGCUUCAGU
Molecule: RNA transcript, 2193 nt
Organism: Gopherus evgoodei (Goodes thornscrub tortoise)
Lineage: Eukaryota; Metazoa; Chordata; Testudines; Testudinidae
Gene: B3GNTL1
Gene name: UDP-GlcNAc:betaGal beta-1,3-N-acetylglucosaminyltransferase like 1
Exons: 14
Source: RefSeq, a predicted model, not a curated record